AUACACUUAUUUAAUUUGAGCUGAUAUCGAAACAGUCAUGUGUUCAUGCGUAAAACUAUAAGCCACCGUUUGGUUGGGGUUAAGUGGUGGAAUAACUCCUUAACCCCCAAUUUAUAUUCAAACACCACUAUUUUGGAGUGGGGUUAGUAAACCCCACCCCAAACCGGAUUAGUGGGGUUUACUAACUCCACUCCCCCUCCCAACUUUAACCCCGCACGCAUCCCGAGUCCUCAUCUUUUUCUUCUUUAUCAAUCAUUAACCCCACUCCCCCUCCCAACUUUAACCCCGCACGCAUCCCGAGCUCUGACCUUUUUCUUCUUUAUCAAUCAUUAUCUUCUUAUCCCACUUACUCCAACCAAACACUUUUUUUCACUAUCCUAGACUUACUCCAACCUCCAACCAAACACAAAAAAAUUUUAACACCAUUUUAACCCUGAACUUAAUUCUAUUCCUGGAAUAACUAUUUUUUCUUAACCCGAACCAAACGGGGGCUAAUAGUUCUCUAAACAAUCAGUCA
Molecule: long non-coding RNA, 517 nt
Filed under: Ananas comosus (pineapple)
Lineage: Eukaryota; Viridiplantae; Streptophyta; Magnoliopsida; Poales; Bromeliaceae
Description: long non-coding RNA (ACOM_LNC015772)
Source: RNAcentral